Molecule: ribosomal RNA, 497 nt
Filed under: uncultured bacterium
Lineage: Bacteria
Description: partial 16S ribosomal RNA
Rfam family: Bacterial small subunit ribosomal RNA
Source: RNAcentral
GAUGAACGCUGGCGGCGUGCCUAAUACAUGCAAGUCGAGCGAACGGACGAGAAGCUUGCUUCUCUGAUGUUAGCGGCGGACGGGUGAGUAACACGUGGAUAACCUACCUAUAAGACUGGGAUAACUUCGGGAAACCGGAGCUAAUACCGGAUAAUAUUUUGAACCGCAUGGUUCAAAAGUGAAAGACGGUCUUGCUGUCACUUAUAGAUGGAUCCGCGCUGCAUUAGCUAGUUGGUAAGGUAACGGCUUACCAAGGCAACGAUGCAUAGCCGACCUGAGAGGGUGAUCGGCCACACUGGAGCUGAGACACGGUCCAGACUCCUACGAGAGGCAGCAGAAGGGUAUCUUCCGCAAUGGGCGAAAGCCUGACGGAGCAACGCCGCGUGAGUGAUGAAGGUCUUCGGAUCGUAAAACUCUGUUAUUCGGGAAGAACAUAUGUGUAAGUAACUGUGCACAUCUUGACGGUACCUAAUCAGAAAGCCACGGCUAACUACGUG